AAGGAUUUAAGUUAAUACUAAACUCGUAGCCUUCAAAGCUUCAAAUAAAGACGGCCACACCUUUAAGCCUUA
This 72-nucleotide transfer RNA is filed under the name Necrophila americana (American carrion beetle). RNAcentral's name for it is "tRNA-Trp". Lineage: Eukaryota; Metazoa; Arthropoda; Insecta; Coleoptera; Silphidae. The record is from RNAcentral.